GUUCUCAUCAGACCCAGAGCUGGGGGGCAAAAGGGGGGGCUCCUCCGACCCAGAGCAGCUGGAGGGCCCCCGUGGCCCCGAAAUCCGGGCUGCACUUUCUCCAGAGUUUGCUUGCCCGGAAAAGGAGCCUCAUUCCCAGGAGGGGGGAGUCUGUCUGUCUGUCUGUCUGUCUGUCAUCCCUCAGCCGCCUCCGCGGCUGCCUCCAGUGCCCCCAGCCCUCCCCUUGGCCAAAGUCUGCUGCCUCUUCUUCUUCUUGAGAGAGCAAGUUUGAAAACCAGGUGAUGGCGUCUAACAUAACAGAGGCACGGAAGGCGCAAGCCGUGCCCGUUUUGAGCCUUUAUGCCCGACGCGGUUCCAACGUCACUCAGGACGCUGCUUGCGGCCGCGGGAUUGGCCUGCUGCUUUCCGAGUCACGCUGGCCAGCGUGCUGCUGCGUGUGGCGCUUUGGAAAGUUAACACUGACAAAUGCUGAAGGACUAAUUAGAGUUGCCCGCUGGAAAGAGUUUGCAAAAUGCCAAGCGUUGCCAAGCUGUACGUGGGCUGCUCUCGAGAGCUGCUGCAGACAGGCCUGAUUCACAAUGCAAAGUGUGCCCUCUGCCCAGGUCCCUUAGAACAAAGCCUUUUCAAGCCUAGAGCUGUAAAGGGUGUGUGCGUGUGCUGUUGUUGUCUUACAGUAAAUCCAGUUGAUUAUUGGUUAUGCGGGGAUCAGUUUAGUUGUUUUGCUGUAAAACCAUGCUUUAAAUUUCUUCCUUUAUUUUUGAAUAGAAAAAUCAUCCCCUUUGGCAAUCUUUUGGUAGGUUGGGUGGUCAGUGGCAGCCUGGACUACCACCCAGCCAACUUGUUUCCCUUUUUGCUCAUUGGAACACGGUCAACUUGGCAUGCUCUGACUGGGCAUUCUGAGUAGGUCAGUUUCAUUCUGACCUCAAAACAAAGUCCCCCCCAUUUUCUGAGCACCCCUAAUACUCCUGUAUCAGAAGUCAGUCCCACAUUACGCUGAGCCGUAGCUUGUUUUAACUGUAAUAAACCAGUGUGCUGGAUUUAUGGUGGAGAGGUAGAUCGAAACUAUGAUUUACUCACUACAAGUGAGGGCUAGGUUUGCACAACCCAGAAAGCCAAACUGCAUGAUUGCUUGUGCCAUGUGUGAGCCAAAUCACUCUGACCCUAUAAGAAAGGGCAACGCUAAAUUUCCUUGGUGCAUACACCUGAAAGAUCUAUCUCCUCUAAAACAUGCUUUAUGGAGCUGGUGGAGGGUUCAUGAGCAAAUGUCCUCUCCCACAAAAGUCUCUGUGCACAGAUGGUUGAUAUUCAGCCAGAGUUUCCUAAACCUCACGGUCAAUGGCUAUCCUGGCCGGGGAGUUCUGAGUUCUGCCUACCUGGACGUGGGGGAAAGUGGUGUGAGCAUCUGUGCCAACCCAGAGACCCUGAGCGCCUCCAGCCACGGGCAGCCCCGCUGGUUGCACAGGUGAGCUGCUUGACGCCUCAGGAUUCUUUUGACACUCAGUUGGGCUUCUCACAACUGAACUGAAACACACACACACACACACACACACUCUCCUCAAAACCAAACAAGGAAGCUCUGCUCUUUUCUGUUUCCUCAUUAUAUUCUGCUGUGACCAGCGAGUGGCUGAUAACGUUCAUUUCCUUUUCUUUUGAGCGUAUCUUCACCAGCCCCAGCUCACUGGGAGCAUUUGCUUUCCUGACUCAAAGUCUUGACUUUUCACCGUGCCCCUUUCCUUCUUCCUCCUCUUCUAUGCAUCCUUUUGUAUCAGAGAUCUCCUUACGCUCUUAUUCAGCCACGCUGGCCUCCUCUGCUUUCUUCCGUCUUUUUCCAGUCUGGACCCUGUUCGCAGUUAUCCUUUAACAGCUCCUUUUUUUAAGAACCUGCUCUCGUCUUUGGCCCCUGAGACACCCACCUUAAAGCCAAGAUCUCCAACGCUACACAAGUGUUUAGUGUCAGGUCAAGAGCAGCCGAUUCCUCUGUGCCCUUCUCCACUCAGGAAUGUCCUGGAAGAAACAAUUGUGCUCCCUGCCCUCUUGACGCUAUAAAUCACCUUAUGUCUUCCAGCCACAGAACUCUGAAGCUGCCAGAAAGUAAGACCGGAAGGGAAAAGACUUCUUUGACAGCAGCAGAAGACAGAUCUUGCCCAACUCCAAGGCAGAACCUGGAAGCAGAGAGGAAGGCACAUUCACCUCGCCCCACGGGUGGCUAGGGCAAGGGUCUGGCCCAUUCCCCCCCUUGAUCUGAACACCCUGAACACCGUCCCGUUCUACAGGGGAGGAGGAGUCAGAGCGGAUGCACAGGUCUCCUUUUCUCCUCUUGCCCUGGGCUCCGUGGCCCAUCCCCUCAGGCCACAAGAAGGCGUGUGCCACGCCGCAGCAUGUACAGAGGGCCCCACGGGGUGAGGGAGCAGGCGGGGCUGUGCACAGGAGCCAUGCGCUGGCGCAGGGAAGAUGCACAGGCCGAGCCGGUGAUUUGUUCCAGAUGCCUUCCUGCUGACUCCAGAGCCGCGCAGGAACAAAUCCUCCUCUGUCUAUUCAAGAUGUUCUUAUUAAGGACUAGGAUGAACCAUUAAAAAAAAAGGGGGGGGGCUUCUUCAAAUUUCAACCUGCUUCUCACUUUCAACCUUUUUUUGCCAAAGCAAGUCCCUGCCAGAAGAAUUAGAAUAUCCCUUUGGUUUUGUUUUUCGUUUUUUCCCAGGGAUUGGAGCAAACCUGAUCCACAGCAGUGAAAUGAAGCUCCGGCUGCUCGGCGGGAGCUAAACAAAUUCUGGAAGCAAUCUCGAAUCCAGGAGAGUUUGCAGAUUUUAAAGUAGAGAGAGUUCCUCUCGACUGGCCCUCGGCUCCAUGCGGGAAUCCAAAUCGGAUCUUUCCUAUCCAAUGGCAUCCAGCCUUGCUUGAACCCACUUUAUUUUAUUUUUUUAUUUAUAUAUCAAAUUUGUCACCGCCCAUCUCGUUAAAAAACAACUCUGGGCGGUUUACAGAAAAGAAAAAUAUUCGCCCAGCGAAGGGGCGUCCAGCCUCUCUCUGCUUCGUCUCAAAUUUGCCUUUGCUGUACUUUUAGGAACUUUUCUGAACAUCCGGGUGGAAUCUGCCUUCCUGUGACUGAAGACGGUUAUUCGUGUCCUGUGCUCAGAGAUGGCACUGGUCUUGGCGGCCUUCUGGUGCCAUCCUCCCGGUGCAGAGUGUUUCGUUUGUCUCUCUCCAGUCCAGUAACGAGACAGCUGGCAGAAAGGGGCGUCCAGUCUCAAAGCACCCAUUUCUCCCCUGCGCCCAGGGGAGAUCUCCUCCAAAGCACCCAGAGAUCUCCUCUGCAGGGAUCAAGACGCCCGUCUCUCGGGCGGCGUGCUGCCUGAGUUGGCAUCACCUGCUAGGCACGCAGCUGGCUGGCUAGCAUGUGGUGGAAGCCGGUCUGUGUGUGUAAACACAAGCAUUGCAUUUCCCACCCAAACCAUCUGCCGAGCGCCAGCUGCCCGGCUACACUUGCCGAUGGAGUAUACCAAAUCCUCCGACCAUCAUCUCUCGCUUCUGCUUCUUGGAAGGGAGGGAGCCGGGGAGAGGAUGGUACCAGGAGAGACAGGGCAUUCAGACAUGCCCGUGGGUCGCCUUGCAGGGACACUCCUCUGCGCCCAAAGAAAUUCUCUUCUGCCUGCAGAGCAAUCCAGAUGUUACUUUCCACUGGACUGAAUGACAACAGCCAGGAAUGGACAUCGUCAUCGUCAUCAUCCUCAUCAUUUCCCACCUUUAUUUUAUACAGCAGUUGUAUACACCACCCAAAAACUGUUGUACACCACCCAGAGUUGCUUUGUCUGAGACAAGUAGCUAUACAGAUGUAAUAUGUACACACACACACACACAACUCAAGGCAGAGUGCAUAAUGCUCCCACCUCCUAUUUUCCCCAUGACAACA
Non-coding RNA from Python bivittatus (Burmese python), 3907 nucleotides. The record is from RefSeq and is a predicted model, not a curated record. Lineage: Eukaryota; Metazoa; Chordata; Lepidosauria; Squamata; Pythonidae.